GCGGGGCUGUGCUGGAGGUCGUGGUGCCGCUCAGGGAGCCCACGCCUGGGCGUGAAGCCGCAGCUCAGCGCGUUCCAAGAGCGUUUUAACGCGCCGAAGGCAGUAAACGCGUUCAGAGCGGUGGGGAAGAGGACCGAUAUAUCCAGUGCCAGACACUGUUAAGCUUUUUUUUUUUUUUUUUUUGUAGUAUGGCAUUUAUUUAUCACGGUUACUUUGGGAUGUAAUUAUCCUCGUACUGCUUACAGAGAAGUGUGAAGCUGCUUCAAAUCACACAGCUAGUAAGUGGAGGAGCUGGUGUUCAAACGCAGUGCCGUUUUACCUGAAUUUCACUAGUUUUGGAACAUAGUACUUUGCCUAAAAGAGUUAGUGUUCUUGAGUAAAUACUAAGUGAACUUCAACUUGUGAUCAUUGUUACUGAGAGAACUCUUGGUGUCUCUGCAGGAAGACUGUGUGAUUGAACCUGUGGAUCCCUGUCGCGUAUUUCUGCCUGAUUCAUUUUCCAGCGACCCUGGUUAAAAUCUACAAAAAGCCACCCUAGGGCCACAGGAUGGAGAGAGAAGAAUCAAUUUUUGUCUCUUCUAUCCAGUGAGAGGAGAGUUUGACUCACCGCAUUACAUGAACCAUCAAGAACUGUGUCCAUGGAAGUGUGGUCCCAAAUGUUUGAGGAGAAAGCUCUCCUGUGUACCUUAUUGCAAGGAACA
This 701-nucleotide long non-coding RNA is filed under the name Sus scrofa (pig). RNAcentral's name for it is "lncRNA (ENSSSCG00005004415.1)". Lineage: Eukaryota; Metazoa; Chordata; Mammalia; Artiodactyla; Suidae. The record is from RNAcentral.